RNAcentral lists this ribosomal RNA (493 nucleotides) under uncultured bacterium. RNAcentral's name for it is "bacterial SSU rRNA". It matches the Rfam family "Bacterial small subunit ribosomal RNA", at positions 28 to 509 of the family's 1533-position model. The record is from RNAcentral.
GACGAACGCUUGCGGCGUGCCUAAGAAAUGCAAGUCGAGCGAGGAUUCACGCUGACCGAAGCUUCGGCAGAGGUCUUGUGAAGCCUAAGCGGCGAACGGUCGCGUAACACGUAAGCAACCUGCCCUGAAGUGUGGGAUAGCCCUCCGAAAGGAGGAUUAAUACCGCAUGUGGAUACGAUGUCGCAUGGCAACGUAUCUAAAGCAGCAAUGCGCUUCAGGAUGGGCUUGCGGCCUAUCAGCUAGUUGGUGGGGUAACGGCCUACCAAGGCGACGACGGGUAGCUGGUCUGAGAGGAUGGUCAGCCGGAUUGGGACUGAGACACGGCCCAGACUCCUACGGGGGGGCAGGCAAUUAGGAAUCUUGCGCAAUGGGGGAAACCCUGACGCAGCGACGCCGCGUGAGCGAUGAAGUCUUUCGGGGAUGUAAAGCUCUGUCCUGUGGGGAAGAAGAAUGUGACGGUACCCACAGAGAAAGCCCCGGCUAACUACGUGCC